This 582-nucleotide ribosomal RNA is filed under the name Botryosphaeria dothidea. Its description in RNAcentral is "eukaryotic LSU rRNA". The stretch from base 210 to 363 matches the Rfam family "5.8S ribosomal RNA". The record is from RNAcentral. Lineage: Eukaryota; Fungi; Ascomycota; Dothideomycetes; Botryosphaeriales; Botryosphaeriaceae.
UCCGUAGGUGAACCUGCGGAAGGAUCAUUACCGAGUUGAUUCGGGCUCCGGCCCGAUCCUCCCACCCUUUGUGUACCUACCUCUGUUGCUUUGGCGGGCCGCGGUUCUCCGCGGCCGCCCCCCUCCCCGGGGGGUGGCCAGCGCCCGCCAGAGGACCAUCAAACUCCAGUCAGUAAACGAUGCAGUCUGAAAAACAUUUAAUAAACUAAAACUUUCAACAACGGAUCUCUUGGUUCUGGCAUCGAUGAAGAACGCAGCGAAAUGCGAUAAGUAAUGUGAAUUGCGGAAUUCAGUGAAUCAUCGAAUCUUUGAACGCACAUUGCGCCCUUUGGUAUUCCGAAGGGCAUGCCUGUUCGAGCGUCAUUACAACCCUCAAGCUCUGCUUGGUAUUGGGCACCGUCCUUUGCGGGCGCGCCUCAAAGACUUCGGCGGUGGCGUCUUGCCUCAAGCGUAGUAGAACAUACAUCUCGCUUCGGAGCGCAGGGCGUCGCCCGCCGGACGAACCUUCUGAACUUUUCUCAAGGUUGACCUCGGAUCAGGUAGGGAUACCCGCUGAACUUAAGCAUAUCAAUAAGCGGAGGA